This 807-nucleotide non-coding RNA is filed under the name Cryptosporidium parvum. The record is from RNAcentral. Lineage: Eukaryota; Apicomplexa; Conoidasida; Eucoccidiorida; Cryptosporidiidae.
UUUUUCGUAGCUUUCUGCACUGUCUACAGAGAUUGUAUCAUCCAUUGUCCUUGAUCUAGUAGAUCUCUUGAAUCCAGUACCAUUAUCUUUUAUUGUAAUGAUAACCAUGUUGUUUGAAAGGCGACUUGUUGAUUUAGAUGGGUUGAAAGGCGAAAUGUUAGAGUUACUUAGUUUCUCUAGCUUGUUAUUGAACUGAGUUCUGGAGUCAAAGUCAGAAUCAUUGAAAGAGAAUCCCAGACUCGCUGCUUCCCCGUUUAAGACUCUCUGUAGGUCUUCCACUAGAGGUGUUACUGUUAUUGACCUUCUUAGCUGGUUCCCGACACGAAUAAACCUUAAAAUUUUGGGCUCAGUAAAUCUACCGGAAAUCCUUUCAAAAGAAAUAGUUUCAGAAGCACCUCCAACCUCUGAAUCUUUGUUUUCUGAGUAUUCACCACCAGCGCAAACUUUUACGGUCCUGGAAAAGUCUGAAACUGUAUUCCUGCAAUUUGUCUUGGCUUCGUACACUGUUGUAUCAUUGCUGUGAGCAAAUUGACCAGCUGUACCAGAUACUGUUGUGGAAAGCACGCUUGAAUUUAAGGCAUCAUUAGAACUCGUCAGUUCGCCAUUCUUAUACUUUAGAGACUGGUGUGUAUAGUAAACAUCUGAGAAAGGAAUAUGUUCAGAUUCUUGAUUAUUGCCGUUCUCCGACGUAUUACUUAUAGAUGAGGUAUAUUUUGCAUUAUCUCUUGCCCACAUUCUUAAUCUCUCUUGUUGCAAAACUGCCACAUUUAGUUGGCUUAAGUAAUUAUCUUCAGUGUCCCUCUCGUA